Capsicum annuum is the source of this 1031-nucleotide long non-coding RNA. RefSeq lists it as uncharacterized. The record is from RefSeq and is a predicted model, not a curated record. The transcript has 2 exons. Lineage: Eukaryota; Viridiplantae; Streptophyta; Magnoliopsida; Solanales; Solanaceae.
CCUUUAUUUUUUGUUUGUUUAUUGACAUAUUUUGCUGGCCAUUUUUCCAAUUACACACCUCAAAAAGAGUGGGCCCACGUAAUUUUUCUUUAACAAUAUAUAACGUCGCAUAUACCAAGGGGAACAUAAUCAACAUCAUCUUCUCUACCUUAUACCAUCACAGCAAGACUCCAAUACACACAGUAACAACCAUACUCACAGACACCAUCAAAAAUUUCCAUUCACACACUAAAACACCACACAUACAGUGGUACAAAAAGAGAAUUAGUAGCGAAGGAAGAGGGAAAAUGAGAAUUAGACAUAAGAUAAUAGAGAGUCGAUUGGAGAGGGGUUGAACAGAAGCUGACUGGGUGUUGAGUUUUUUUUUCGGCGAUUUGUUCGCUAGAAUCGUCCAUCCACUGCCGAACUCAGUCGUCGACCAGACCCAUUCCCACCAGCUCUUCCACCACUCCAAAAACCGAUCAAACCCACACCAUAUCGAUUCAAAUACCCGACCCAUUCUUUUCCAUUCCCGUCUCUGUCAAAUCCUUCGGUGAAGCUCACCGGAUCUUUAAAAAGUAGCGAAAUUCAUGGUCAAAACAGUCCACAAAUUUCAGUUGAGCAUCGGUCUUUCGGGUUCUAUUUUGAAUCACCAAGUUGGGUUUACUUUGAAGUCGAAAUUUGGUUUCUAUGUUGGUUGUUGAUUCAAACAGAGGUCCGAUCGAAGUUUGAUGAGUUGUUGUUCGCCGUUGAGGUUCUUCGGUCGAGGUCCGGUGGCGAAGCUCCAUCCUUUGACCUGUAAUUCAGCAUACUCAAAGAUCGAUUGAGGAGCCCGCCUGAAGAAUAGGGCGGUGAGAUUGAAAGUCAGGAGCCCGCCUGAAGAACAGGGUGAUAAAAUUGAAGGUUAGGAGUCCGCCUGAAGAACAGGGUGAUGAAAUCGAAAGUUGAUGAAACAUAAAGUCAGGAUCCCGCUUGAAGAGCAGGGCAAAUAAGUUGAAAGUCAACAGAUUGAAAAAUAGUAAGUCAGGAGCCCACCUGGAGAAUAGGUUGAA